Acetomicrobium mobile DSM 13181 is the source of this 126-nucleotide regulatory RNA element. It matches the Rfam family "Molybdenum/Tungsten riboswitch aptamer (Moco RNA motif)". The record is from Rfam. Lineage: Bacteria; Thermotogati; Synergistota; Synergistia; Synergistales; Acetomicrobiaceae.
AUAUACAUUUUGCUCCGAGCCAUUUAACCUAAAGACCCUUCAUGGGCUCCAUGGUUUCUGGCCAAUGGGUAUCUUUGGAAACGAGGAUGCCUCCCAUGUUUGGAAAGGAGGAAAUGUUAAAGAAAG